Molecule: long non-coding RNA, 1146 nt
Organism: Poeciliopsis prolifica (blackstripe livebearer)
Lineage: Eukaryota; Metazoa; Chordata; Actinopteri; Cyprinodontiformes; Poeciliidae
Exons: 6
Source: RefSeq, a predicted model, not a curated record
UAAGGUGGAGAAAACGAGACAAAGAUGGAAAUGAACUAUAUGAGAGGUCAAGAUCAACAAGACAUUAAUUACCUAAAAAUUUCUGGAAGAGGUGUUUGUGGUGGGCAAUGGUCAGCAGCCAAGGAGACCUCUCACAGAUCCAGCAGCAAACUGGAUGAGGAGGGAUUGGAGCUAGCGGUGUACAGACAUGAGAUGCUACUUUGUGCCCUGAACAUGCACAGGGGUGAGAAAUUUGCAUACCCCUUGUACUUGCAGCAAAGGCUGGCCAACAGACGGAUCACAUUUGUUUGCAUGGAUGUAACAUGCAAGUACUGGCCAUAUCUUGAGAAAGUAUCAAAAAGCUGUCCUGAGCUCCAACACCUGCUUCAAAUGAAGCCAUUCCUCAGUUUCCCAUGCCAAAGCCCAUGACUUCAAAUGUGAGGCUAAGUGGAGUGGAGCAUAUCAAGAUGGUGCUGGUUUGACUCUAGGGGAAGAAGUUGAGCAGUGCAAUGCAUUUCUCUCAAGGAUCGCUGUUACGACAAAACAUAUGUCAAAAGCUGGACGGACAGACAUGUUGACUCUUAUGGCCAUACGCUGGAAUCAGCAAAAACUUGACAAGUUGGCCACUUCACUAACCCAUCGAUAUCAGAAGGCCACAAAAGCUCUUCAAAAGCAACAUCAGAAAUCGGGAGUCCUUAAAAAUUGAGCUUGUGGUGACUGACAGUCAACUUGAAGACUGGGUCCGUGAUAUUAAGGAAUGGGCAGAAGCAACAACUAGCACAACUGAUCCGGACUCCUUGGCAGGCAGAAUUGAGGUUCUGGCUGCGAGCAUCAAAAGGCGACCUCAGGGUCUUUACAAAGACACAGACGGAAACAGACGAGCCAAGGAUUGUGCAAAAUAAGAAAGGAGAAAAACAUCUUAGCAUUGGCUUUAGAAGACUACAGCAAGACUUACAGGCACAGAAGCACUGUCUUUGAAAGAGAUCCUGUCCUGCGACACAACAUUACCAUGGAAGCAAUCACACGGUGCUAAAUAAACAUACACUAAUACAUAUUACACUGCCAUCAGACCUGACAGAUAAUGUGGAUAGAUACUCCAGGUGUUGACCUAGACUUAAUGACCAAUUAAAACUGAGUUAAUUUGUGUUUUUCAUUAAUCCUUUUCAA